AGCGCUGGCAGCGUGCAUACACACGCAAGUCGAACGAUGAACGCAUUCUUCGCGAAUGUGGAAGAGUGGCAAACGGGUGAGGACACACGUCAAUGCAAUCUGCCCCUCGGUCGGGGACAACUCUUGUGAUAACGAUGAGCUAAUACCCGAUACGCUGUGGGAUGUGAAGAGAAGUUUCGCCGAGGGAUGAUCUUGCGUCUGAUUGAGCUAGUUGGUACGGUAAUGGCGUACCAAGGCGACGAUCAGUAGCUGGUCUGAGAGGAUGGACAGCCACAUUGGAACUGAGACACGGUCCAAACUCCUACGGGAGGCAGCAGUGGGGAAUUUUCCGCAAUGGACGAACAGUCUGACGGAGCGACGCUGCGUGAAGGAUGACGCCCCGCGGGUUGUAAACUUCUUUUCUCGAAGAAGAAGCUCUGACGGUAUUCGAGGAAUAAGCAUCGGCUAACUCCGUGCCAGCAGCCGCGGUAAGACGGAGGAUGCAAGUGUUAUUCGGAAUGAUUGGGCGUAAAGAGUCUGUAGGCUGUAUAGAAAGUCUUUUGUUAAAUGCCUC
Molecule: ribosomal RNA, 553 nt
Filed under: uncultured bacterium
Lineage: Bacteria
Description: bacterial SSU rRNA
Rfam family: Bacterial small subunit ribosomal RNA
Source: RNAcentral